This is a long non-coding RNA of Astyanax mexicanus (Mexican tetra), 139 nucleotides long. RefSeq lists it as uncharacterized. Lineage: Eukaryota; Metazoa; Chordata; Actinopteri; Characiformes; Acestrorhamphidae. The transcript has 3 exons. The record is from RefSeq and is a predicted model, not a curated record.
UUUACCAAGGUUUCCUUUCUUUACCAAGAUUUCCUUUCUUUACCAAGGUUUUCCUUUCUUUAUCAAGGUUUCCAUUCUUUACCUAAGUUUUCCAUUAUUCACCAAGGUUUUCCUUUCUUUACCAAUGUUUUCUUUCUUU